RNAcentral lists this ribosomal RNA (250 nucleotides) under uncultured bacterium. RNAcentral describes it as "partial 16S ribosomal RNA". It matches the Rfam family "Bacterial small subunit ribosomal RNA", at positions 524 to 773 of the family's 1533-position model. The record is from RNAcentral.
UACAGAGGGUGCAAGCGUUGUUCGGAAUCAUUGGGCGUAAAGGGCGUGUAGGCGGCAGAGUCUGUCCGGUGUGAAAGCCCCCGGCUCAACUGGGGAAGUGCAUUGGAAACUGCUUUGCUUGAGUACGAGAGAGGAUGACGGAAUUCCCAGUGUAGAGGUGAAAUUCGUAGAUAUUGGGAGGAACACCAGAGGCGAAGGCGGUCAUCUGGCUCGUUACUGACGCUGAGACGCGAAAGCGUGGGUAGCAAAC